AGUGAGCCGAGAUUCACCAUUGCACUCCAGCCUGGGCAACAAGAACAAAACUCCAUCUCAAAAUAAAUAGUUAGUGCCAAGCAUGUCAUGCUGUAGUCAUGCGAGUCUAAGUGUCUAACAGACCCUGAGAAGAACUCCAAAGUGGGCAUCGUAACCUAGCAACAGUGACCAUCCUAGGAAGAAUAGCACCCCAGGAACCCAGAUUAUGUUCUGUUUUGCAUACCAGUGAAACUAGUGACAUCGGCUGGUCUAAAGGACCCCACAAGCAGUUGACUCAAAGAACAAAGUUUCCAAGUUCUGAUUUUCAUACCCCUUCCUCGAUCAAUCAACAACCACAAUUUUCUAGCCCCUUGCCCUUCAUAAUUCUCUUAAAAACCCCAGCCCAGAACCCCUCAGAGAUGGAUUCGAGGGUCUCCUUCCAUCUCCUUGCUCAGCCACCCUACAAUCAUUAAAGGCUUUCUCUGCUGCAAA
This is a long non-coding RNA of Homo sapiens (human), 471 nucleotides long. RefSeq lists it as uncharacterized. The record is from RefSeq and is a predicted model, not a curated record. Lineage: Eukaryota; Metazoa; Chordata; Mammalia; Primates; Hominidae. The transcript is spliced from 2 exons.